RNAcentral lists this long non-coding RNA (961 nucleotides) under Pan troglodytes (chimpanzee). RNAcentral describes it as "long non-coding RNA NONPTRT013750". The record is from RNAcentral. Lineage: Eukaryota; Metazoa; Chordata; Mammalia; Primates; Hominidae.
CUGAAAGACGCCUCCUGUGGAGCAGGCUACGACACAAAGAAAUGCUGCUAACACCAGAUGACCAACUCCUUUCCAGUUACGGACCAUCCCGGUGAUGAGACCUCCAUAUGUUGUCUGAUGGCCGCAGUUCCUUGGAAUGGAAACCCACACUGCUGUUGUGAAGACACCUGAUGAAACUCCAGCAACUUCUACAUCUGGCCUGCUGCUUAGUCCUGGGACCUGAGGUCAAAAUCUUAGAAAAGAGCCAUGUGAGAUGCAUUCCCUGGCCUCAUCUCUGUUCUUGGAUGCUGUCAGCAACACUCCUUGAGUUUUUACCCACAUAAUAACACUUUCCUCAGCAUGGAUGUGGAGGUGGGGUGCUCUGCAAAGGGUGGCUCUUACCCUCAGAUGGUCCAAAGGUAGUUUGGGGUGUGCAUGGAUCACCUUCACUCUUCAGAGGCGAACAGACAAUGCUGCUCUUCUCCAACAGCCUCUGAAGGACACCACCUACUGACUGGUUCUGAGAUGUUUGCUGCCCCAGAGUCUCCCACCUGCUUCUUCCUCCCCCUCAGUCCUUUUUUGUAGCCUCUCAGCCUCCCUUCUCUUAAUGCUCUUAGCACCCUUUCCUGGGUCUCUAUUUACCCUGCCCUCCCUUUCAGCAACUCCUUCCCAAACCACUGUGUACUUCUCCUUUCUUUCCAAUCCCUCCUCCCUUCCCAGCACUUUCGCCCUCCAUUGAAUCCCUCAAGCCUCAUUCUGGCCCCACUCCUCCCCUCACCCUCUAUCCCUGCUCUCCUCAGAUCUGCCAAACACCUCAGGCCUGGCUGCCUCUGUCCUGUUCCUACCAAUCUCCUGACCAUGCCUCUGUGCUCCUUGGGACCUGGGCUCACAUUUUCAAUCUCUUCUCUCCUAUUAGUACAGCUCUGUCUAGAGCCAUGGUUCUUCUCUACCUUUCACAGCUGUCUUCUUUCCCACUUAUAUG